CCACUGAACACUGACACCCGUCUGUUAAGGACACUGAACACACACACACACACACACACAAAAACAUGAUAAGGAUCAUCGCUCCAGACAAUCAAGCACGUUUAUUUAGCAUCUGGAAAUCUGCAAUGAGACGCCACUGGAGCAGCAGAGUGGAUAUUGAAUGUGAUCACACCUGUCCUGCUGGGUGAACAUAGAGACACUAAACAACACGCAUCACUGACUGACAUCUUAUACUUUAUAGCGGCUGCUUUUCAGAAGCCCUGACGUUCAUAGGUACGACGGCCUGCAUCGGUCUGAGCUCUGCUACGUGCAAAGGAAGUGGCCUCUGCUGUGGACUCAUGCUGUGAUCAGACCCACAAACAGGAAGACCCUCGACCACAACCUGAAUGAAUUGUCUAAAAACUUGCAACGCUUGAGUUUUGUCCAAACUGGUGGACAGAAGUGUAAAAUUUGAAAAGCGUUAAACUUCCGUUACUGAUGCCUUGAUUCUUUUCGUAGCCUGUGUCCAUGAAUGUUUGUAUUAUAAUGUGCAUAAGGCUACUAACAUCAUCUCAUACCUAUGUCUUUGUUUUUGUGAUCGCUAGCCUCUUUGGCAACUACGUAGUUAUACAUUAGUUUCAGCAUGUUUUGGUUCUGGUUGACAUUGUUUUUCUGUUUUCUAACAGAAUUAUGUAUAUUAUAUUACAUAUUAUAUUACAUACAUUAUACAUAAUUCAUAUGUAUAUUAAA
This is a long non-coding RNA of Betta splendens (Siamese fighting fish), 729 nucleotides long. RefSeq lists it as uncharacterized. NCBI's taxonomy places the organism in Eukaryota, Metazoa, Chordata, Actinopteri, Anabantiformes, Osphronemidae. The record is from RefSeq and is a predicted model, not a curated record. The transcript is spliced from 3 exons.